RNAcentral lists this non-coding RNA (26 nucleotides) under Mus musculus (house mouse). Lineage: Eukaryota; Metazoa; Chordata; Mammalia; Rodentia; Muridae. The record is from RNAcentral.
GGGUACACAUGGUGGGACUAAUGUCU